RNAcentral lists this ribosomal RNA (545 nucleotides) under uncultured archaeon. RNAcentral's name for it is "bacterial SSU rRNA". It matches the Rfam family "Archaeal small subunit ribosomal RNA", at positions 95 to 628 of the family's 1478-position model. The record is from RNAcentral.
AUCACGUGAUCUCCUUACCCUAUAAAUAAAAAUCUGCUCCUUGAACUGACGAUAAUGCUUCUCAUCUGAAUUGGCUUGAAAUAAUUUUUGGGCGAAUUGGGCAUAUCAAAUGUGUCUUUUAUCUGAUAUAGGAUAAAGAUCGUGUUCGAUUAUCGUUGUUGAAGACGUAAUGACUCACCAACCCUAUUAUCGAAUCGGACCUCGAGACCGGGAUCGCCGAAAUCGUGACUGUACGAUCGACCCGAGCCUUACGAGGCGCAGCAGGCGCGAAACCUCCGCAAUACACGAAAGUGUGACGGGGUUACCCAAAGUGUUCAAUAGAACUGUGGUAGGUGAGUAAUGUUCCCUACUAGAAAGGAGAGGGCAAGGCUGGUGCCAGCCGCCGCGGUAAAACCAGCUCUUCAAGUGGUCGGGAUAAUUAUUGGGCUUAAAGUGUCCGUAGCCGGUUUAGUAAGUUCCUGGUAAAAUCGGGUAGCUUAACUAUCUAUAUGCUAGGAAUACUACUAUACUAGAGGGCGGGAGAGGUCUGAGGUACUACAGGGGUA